UUUUCAAACACUCCUUGUAUACCAGUAGGGGUGGGCAUUGGGGUAAGCCGUUUGUAUUUGGGUAAAACCCAAUCGGAUACCAAUCCUUCGGAUAAAGAAGUUUAAGAUCCAAUAGGGUAAAUCUAAAUUAUCAGUUCGGUUUCGGUUCGGUUCCAGUCGGGUUCAGAUAAGUUUGGUGUAGAAUUUCAGGCUCUUUUGGAACCGAUACCAGAAUUUUCGAUUUUUAGGUAAAUAUAUGGAUUUUCGGGUAAAAUUUUGGGUUUCGGAUAAAAUUUAGAUUUUCGAAUAAAAUAUUCAGGUAUUUUCGGGUAGAGGAAUUUAGGACCCAAUAGGGUACAUCUUCGGGUUCAGUUUUGGGUCCAAUUUUUUGGGUCGGUUCCGGUUCAGGUAAUCGGAUCCAGUUUUUUUUUCCCCAGCCCUAAUACCAUUAUCGUCAAUGUUUCCUACUUACUUUUGGAUCCGCUCUCAAGUGUGAUUCAAGUAACUUAUAGUUUGAAUAUA
Molecule: small RNA, 501 nt
Filed under: Arabidopsis thaliana (thale cress)
Lineage: Eukaryota; Viridiplantae; Streptophyta; Magnoliopsida; Brassicales; Brassicaceae
Description: ATSL281180
Source: RNAcentral